GUGGGGAAUAUUGGACAAUGGGCGCAAGCCUGAUCCAGCCAUACCGCGUGGGUGAAGAAGGCCUUCGGGUUGUAAAGCCCUUUUGUUGGGAAAGAAAUCCUGUCGAUUAAUACUCGGUGGGGAUGACGGUACCCAAAGAAUAAGCACCGGCUAACUUCGUGCCAGCAGCCGCGGUAAUACGAAGGGUGCAAGCGUUACUCGGAAUUACUGGGCGUAAAGCGUUCGUAGGUGGUGGUUUAAGUAUGCUGUGAAAGCCCUGGGCUCAACCUGGGAAUUGCAGUGGAUACUGGAUCACUAGAGUGUGGUAGAGGGAUGCGGAAUUUCUGGUGUAGCAGUGAAAUGCGUAGAGAUCAGAAGGAACAUCCGUGGCGAAGGCGGCAUCCUGGGCCAACACUGACACUGAGGCACGAAAGCGUGGGGAGCAAACAGGAUUAGAAACCCCAGUAGUCC
RNAcentral lists this ribosomal RNA (450 nucleotides) under uncultured bacterium. RNAcentral describes it as "partial 16S ribosomal RNA". It matches the Rfam family "Bacterial small subunit ribosomal RNA", at positions 354 to 796 of the family's 1533-position model. The record is from RNAcentral.